RNAcentral lists this ribosomal RNA (331 nucleotides) under uncultured Anoxybacillus sp. RNAcentral's name for it is "bacterial SSU rRNA". It matches the Rfam family "Bacterial small subunit ribosomal RNA", at positions 1052 to 1382 of the family's 1533-position model. The record is from RNAcentral. Lineage: Bacteria; Bacillati; Bacillota; Bacilli; Caryophanales; Anoxybacillaceae.
UCGUCAGGCUCGUGUCGUGAGAUGUUGGGUUAAGUCCCGCAACGAGCGCAACCCUCGACCUUAGUUGCCAGCAUUCAGUUGGGCACUCUAAGGUGACUGCCGGCUAAAAGUCGGAGGAAGGCGGGGAUGACGUCAAAUCAUCAUGCCCCUUAUGACCUGGGCUACACACGUGCUACAAUGGGCGGUACAAAGGGUCGCGAACCCGCGAGGGGGAGCCAAUCCCAAAAAGCCGCUCUCAGUUCGGAUUGCAGGCUGCAACUCGCCUGCAUGAAGCCGGAAUCGCUAGUAAUCGCGGAUCAGCAUGCCGCGGUCGAAUACGUUCCCGGGCCUU